GAAAUUGUAAAACCCUAAUCAGUCCAGUCCGCCUUCAAUCUUCAGAUUUCCAUAAUUUCAGAUCUUUAUCUCAAAUUUUGCAGAUCGAUCCAUGCAAUCAAUUUCCCCACCAGUUUCAAUUCCUAUUUCUCAGUUUUGAUCUUCCCCCAAAUCAAAACCCGAAUCAUUAAGUAAGAAGACAGUAAGGUAUCGAUGGAUUGUUUAAGAUGGAUCAUUGAUUUUGUCGUAUGGGAUUCUGGUGGAGGGUUUCCGAACACACAAAGACAAACAAAGCAUGAUUAUAUUUCCUCUCAAAACAAAGCCUUAUGAACUUGGAUGACAAGCAAGCGAAUUCCGGGGCCGGCAUGUACCAAUUCGAUACUCUUGCUGAUCUAGCCGCUCUGAGAAAUUUUCUUAUUGGGAAUUUCGAAACUCAUCUUCAAACUGCAAUGGGGGCUUUUGUGAUACCUAAUCCGUGAUUCAGGUCGGGAAGCAUGCAGGUUGGCUUCCAGCACCUAACGUCCAAGACACUCCUGUUCUGAAAGUUGUUCAUACUUUUCGAGAUGAUUCAGUACCUUCCCUGGCUCCUCACAGUGAUAUGGUCCAAUUCCCUGGCUCCUCACAAUGAUAUGGUCCAAUUCUUGAAUGCAGCAGAAACACGUUGCAAGGAUUUAAUCGCUAAGGAAGCGUCGGAGGAAUGUGGUCAAAACAUGAGAUUGAGCAAGCCGACACUGCACUAGGUUUUGGAGCUGUUAAGUAUGUUCAACUGUGAAAUGUAUGGAUUCGUGAAGAGGAUCUCCAUAAAUCAGGGAUAGAGUUGCAGGUGGUAUCUUUAGGUGAGUCUAGCAUUCCACUUAGGGAAAACUUGCAAAGGAACUAGACUGUUGUUGAAGUAUUAUCUUCAGUUGAAGUACCUGGCCAAGAGCUAAUUCCAAAAGUGACGAGGCUUGGAGAUAGUGAAGACCAAACUGAAAGUCAAGCAAGGCCAGUCGUCACCUUUUGCUGUAUGGGUUUGUAGUGUAAUAUCAGACACACAAAGACAACCCUAGCGUUAUGUAUUUUAUUGUUCGGAUACAACAGAAAAACACCACUUUUGUUAGUCCUCCACAUAGGAAGAUGAAAGCUGCAUCGCCUAUUACUAAUGUCAUGUAUGCCAUGGUCAUCACUGUUAUGUUCUGCCUGGGUAUAAUUAUUCAAGGAUUGUCAUCCAGAGGCAGUUCACAUUUAAGCUUCUACGGCUCUAUCAGUCAGCGGUCACAAUGAGAGGACAGGAAAAUAAAUUUCAAUUCAGUAUUUGAAGAACAUCUGCACCAGGGACUGAUGGACAUGGCUCUGCAUCUCCGAGCCAGGUAGAACAAGUAUUUGGACAAGGUCCUGAUGAGGAAGGGAGAAGCAGAGUUAGCUCCAUCAGUGACUGGUGCAAGAAUUUGGUAUUUAGGGAAAUCCGGUGGGACAAAUUCAGUUGCUGGAGCAAGGAAAAAUGAGCCCGAAUCUCAAAACGGUGCUCAUUCAGAGAUGCAGUGUCCUGUGCUUCUUAUGCAACCGCUAUAGAUGACCACGCAAUGUAAACGAUUGGUUAUCAAAUGGCUACUGUAGCCCAUCUGAAGCAAGUCCCAUAAAAUGAUGCUGAAGACCAUUUGCGAAAGACUAAACAAUCUAAAUCAGAUAAUAUGAAACUGCUAGUAGAAGAAUGAAGUACUCAUCUUUAUAUUUGUUCUGGUGCUGGAUGGUAUUUGCAUCUGUAGGUUUCUUAUUACUCCUUUGAAUUUGUUAAGCUGGCUCAUGUACAGGAGCGGAUGUAGUGCAAUGAUGGCAUAGUCCAUUGUGUGCUCAGUGCUCAGCAGGGGAGGAUGAUUCCAACUUCCAUGCCGUGCUGAACUGGGCACUUUUUUCCCCUAAUGACUUUGAUUUAGUCAGAGUCUGUCUGUGUACAAUGAUUUGUAUUUCUUAUGGAUACGCAUGUCUACUAUUCUCUAUUUCCAAUGUGUUAUCAACUUAUCAUCAAAUUUUGGU
Long non-coding RNA from Papaver somniferum (opium poppy), 1992 nucleotides. RefSeq lists it as uncharacterized. The transcript is spliced from 8 exons. The record is from RefSeq and is a predicted model, not a curated record. NCBI's taxonomy places the organism in Eukaryota, Viridiplantae, Streptophyta, Magnoliopsida, Ranunculales, Papaveraceae.